This 497-nucleotide ribosomal RNA is filed under the name uncultured bacterium. RNAcentral's name for it is "partial 16S ribosomal RNA". It matches the Rfam family "Bacterial small subunit ribosomal RNA", at positions 29 to 523 of the family's 1533-position model. The record is from RNAcentral.
AUUGAACGCUGGCGGCAUGCUUUACACAUGCAAGUCGAGCGGCAGCGCGGGGCAACCUGGCGGCGAGCGGCGCACGGGUGAGUAACAUAUCGGAACGUGCCCCGUCGUGGGGAUAACAAAGCGAAAGUUGUGCUAAUACCGCAGACGACCGAAGGGUGAAAGGGGGGGAGCGGAAGCACUCUCGCGAGGGGAGCGGGCGAUAGCGGAUGAGCCAGUUGGUAGGGUAAGGGCCUACCAAGGCGACGAUCCGUAGCGGGUCUGAGAGGACGACCCGCCACACUGGAACUGAGACACGGUCCAGACUCCUACGGGAGGCAGCAGUGGGGAAUUUUGGACAAUGGGGGCAACCCUGAUCCAGCCAUUCCGCGUGAGUGAAGAAGGCCUUCGGGUUGUAAAGCUCUUUCGGCAGGAACGAAACGGCUCUUUCUAAUACUAGGGGCUAAUGACGGUACCUGAAGAAGAAGCACCGGCUAACUACGUGCCAGCAGCCGCCGUAA